RNAcentral lists this long non-coding RNA (1180 nucleotides) under Lynx canadensis (Canada lynx). RNAcentral's name for it is "lncRNA (ENSLCNG00005008039.1)". The record is from RNAcentral. Lineage: Eukaryota; Metazoa; Chordata; Mammalia; Carnivora; Felidae.
CUCACACACGUUGUGGCAGGGAGGUGAAACCAGGGCAGAUGGGAACUCCCCAACACUGGGCUUCCCAGAGCGCGACACUGCCUUGGGGCCUGAGACCCUGGGAGGCAGGCCCAGGGACCUGGGGCUUUGCCCCUAGGCCUCACCUACUGCACAGAGGGCUCCUCGUCACGCUGUCUCCCUGAGUCGUGGCCCAGGAGCUGUAGGCCGAUCUACUCAGGAAAAUCAGAACCAGAGGAGAGAAAGGAAAGACCUUUCAUGAUGAAUUCUUGUGGCCACCAACCUAUUUGGCUGAGGCAUGGACAUUGAGCAGGUAAACACUGCCAUCAACUGCCACCUGCCUGAGGAAUCCCACACCUACCUGGAUCAGUUGCAGCCAUGGGAGAGGACGCACCCAUUCGAAGAGCCUGAUGGAGGUCUCACACCCACGAACCAUGAGAUCAUGCAUGACCUGAGCUGAAAUCAAGAGUCGGAUGCCCACCCGACUGACCCACCCAGGCACUCCUAGAGUUUAUUCUUCCUAAUUAAUUUCUUUUUAAAGAUAUUUUAAAUUUGAAUAUUGUUGACACACAAGAUUACAUUAGUUUUGGGUGUACAACCCAGUGACUCAGCUUCUGUAUACAUUUUCUUUUUUUGAGAGAGAGGCAGCCAGAGCAGGGAAGAGAGGUAGAGGGAGAGAGAGAGAGACAGAGAGAGAGAGAGAGAGAGAGAAAGAGAGAGAAUCUCAAGCCGGUUCAGUCCCGUGGGGCUUGAUUCCAUGACCUGGGAUCAUGACUGGAGAAACUACAGAGCCACCCAGGGGCCCUUCACUUUCUGUCUACACCAUGCUGUGCUCACCAGAGUGUAGCUGCCACCUGUCACCAGACAGUGAUGUUACAGUAUCACUCAUGAUAUUCCCUGUGCUGUGCCUUUUAUUCCUAUGACCUGUUCCCUUCCAUAACUGGAGCCUGUAUCUCCCACUCCCCUCACCCACUGUGCCCAUCCUCCCAACCUCCUUCCCUCUGGCAGUCAUCAGUUUGUUCUCUGUAUUUAUAGGUCUGAUUCUGCUGUUUGUUUCUUUACUCAUUUGUUUUGUUUUUUUAGAUUACACAUAUGAGUGAAAUCAUAUGGUACUUGUCUAUCUCAGUCUGAUUCAUUUCACUUAGCAGACAUACUGCCCCGUUUGUCCAUCCAUGUCACAAGU